UAUUAGGUUGGUGCAAAAGUAAUUGCGGUUUUUGCCAUUCCUUUAAAAACGGCAAAAACUGCAGUUACUUUUGCACCAACCUAAUA
Molecule: microRNA precursor, 86 nt
Organism: Pan paniscus (pygmy chimpanzee)
Lineage: Eukaryota; Metazoa; Chordata; Mammalia; Primates; Hominidae
Source: Ensembl